AUUGAACGCUGGCGGCAGGCCUAACACAUGCAAGUCGAGCGAGCGGCGGACGGGUGAUUUAUGUCUGGGAAACUGCCUGAUGGAGGGGGAUAACUACUGGAAACGGUAGCUACUACCGCAUACAAUCAGAUGUGCCCAGAUGGGAGUGGGUAGUGGGUGGGGUAACGGCUCACCUAGGCGACGAUCCGUAGCUGGGCUGAGAGGAUGACCAGCAACACGGGAACGGAGACACGGUCCAGACUCCUACGGGAGGCAGCAGUGGGGAAUAUUGCACAAUGGGCGGAAGCCUGAUGCAGCCAUGCCGCGUGUGUGAAGAAGGUCUUCGGCGUGUAAAGCACUUUCAGCGAGGAGGCGGUACUCGCAGAAGAAGCACCGGCUAACUCCGUGCCAGCAGCCGCGGUAAUAC
RNAcentral lists this ribosomal RNA (406 nucleotides) under uncultured bacterium. RNAcentral's name for it is "partial 16S ribosomal RNA". It matches the Rfam family "Bacterial small subunit ribosomal RNA", at positions 29 to 526 of the family's 1533-position model. The record is from RNAcentral.